AUUGAACGCUGGCGGCAUGCUUUACACAUGCAAGUCGAACGGCAGCGCGGGCUUCGGCCUGGCGGCGAGUGGCGAACGGGUGAGUAAUACAUCGGAACGUGCCCAGUAGUGGGGGAUAGCUCGGCGAAAGCCGGAUUAAUACCGCAUACGACCUGAGGGUGAAAGCGGGGGAUCUUCGGACCUCGCGCUAUUGGAGCGGCCGAUGGCAGAUUAGCUAGUUGGUGGGGUAAAGGCCUACCAAGGCGACGAUCUGUAGCUGGUCUGAGAGGACGAGCAGCCACACUGGGACUGAGACACGGCCCAGACUCCUACGGGAGGCAGCAGUGGGGAAUUUUGGACAAUGGGCGAAAGCCUGAUCCAGCAAUGCCGCGUGUGUGAUGAAGGCCUUCGGGUUGUAAAGCACUUUUGGCGGGAACGAAAAGGACUGUGCCAAUACCACGGUUCGAUGACGGUACCCGCAGAAUAAGCACCGGCUAACUACGUG
RNAcentral lists this ribosomal RNA (484 nucleotides) under uncultured bacterium. Its description in RNAcentral is "partial 16S ribosomal RNA". It matches the Rfam family "Bacterial small subunit ribosomal RNA", at positions 29 to 507 of the family's 1533-position model. The record is from RNAcentral.